GGAUAACUCAGUUGGUUAGAGCAUGGUGCUGAUACAGAAAUGCCAAAGUUGUGCAGGUUCAAUCCCCAUUUGGGACA
Molecule: non-coding RNA, 77 nt
Organism: Podarcis lilfordi (Lilford's wall lizard)
Lineage: Eukaryota; Metazoa; Chordata; Lepidosauria; Squamata; Lacertidae
Source: the annotation of a GenBank genome assembly